Vicia villosa (hairy vetch) is the source of this 1315-nucleotide long non-coding RNA. RefSeq lists it as uncharacterized. Lineage: Eukaryota; Viridiplantae; Streptophyta; Magnoliopsida; Fabales; Fabaceae. The transcript is spliced from 6 exons. The record is from RefSeq and is a predicted model, not a curated record.
UACAGUCCAAGGCUCAGAAGGAGUGUUAGCCUAAAAGUUCGAUUUAUGGCUGAGAUAAUUAUGGUUUAUCAAACUUAUUUUAAGGUUAUAUGUAUACUAUUUGCUUAUGCAUAUGAAAUGUGGUUAUGAUUUAAGAAUUGUUGGUUGCUAAUUAUUACUUAUUACAUCCCUGUUGGUUUCAAGCUUACGUGAAUUUGAGCUUUUUUACUAUCCAAACUAAACAUACCAGCUUUGUUUUUGUUAUAAAAGUAAUUAUGUAUGGUUAUUGAUAUUUUGUGGUUGAUUUGAUAAUUUUGAGGUUUAUUUUUCAGGAUUUAGACUUGAUCGAGUUUUACCGCUGACUUUUGAAUCUAACAAGAGGAUUAAGUGAAAGAAAGAGCAAAAAGAGAUGCAGCAGCUGCUAGCAAUGGAGGGAAUACUCAUGGAAAGGAUUGUGUAUGAAGUGAUGGCCUCUUAUCGUAUUAGAAGUGAAUUUGAAUUGUGACAUAGAUAGCAGUGACUUGGUUCUGAAAUUGCAUAUGUUUGGUGGAUCUCAUCUCAAGUUAUCUGAGUUGUUUUCAGCAAAACUAAUUCAUCUCUGGUUGGAUCUAAGCUUGGUGUUCAAAGGAACUCAAACAUUGUGAGCAGAAGGAAGUUUUCAUCUGGUUGCUGGAACUGUUGGUUUAAUGAGUGUACCAGCCAUGGGAAUCUCAACGCAUUCGCAAGCCACAACUAAGAGUGUAUACAAUGCUGCCUUGGCCUUAGGAAUUGCAAAUCAGCUAACCAACAUACUCAGAGAUGUCGGAGAGGAUUAACUUAUUCACUUAAGAUCAUCCAAGAUGAACUGCGUUUGACAUCGAAAAUAACUGUAGAUGAUUGUUUUGUAGAUGAUUGUUUUGACAUUGAAAUGGCAGUUGGAAAGUCUCACAGUUUCAGGAUGUCGGAGUCUCUAAAGCCUUCACCGGCUAAGAAGCCUUGCAAAUAUCGAAGAUUUUCCUAGCCUUGCAAAUAUCGAAGCAGGGAAAAUCGUCAGGAAGAUCCUAUUCCAGUGAAGUUAUGGAACAAGAAAUUUGGAAAGAUUUUCCUGAAGAUUUAUUUGAGGCGGUAAUUGCACAGCUUCAUAUUGCCACUUUUUUCUGCUUCCGUUAUAUAUGUCGUGCAUGCAUCUGUCAUGCUCACUAAUUCUAGCUUUCGCAGUUUGCCCAACUUCCUUAAUUUUCCGAUUAUUCACAUUUAUAUUUCCACAUCACAACAGGAAUUCAAAUGGGUAAACUUUGAUAUAAACAUGUUGCUGAAGUUGCUGAAGGUUUUGAAGUCAUUGUUUUACAGAUUUGAG